This 440-nucleotide ribosomal RNA is filed under the name uncultured bacterium. RNAcentral describes it as "partial 16S ribosomal RNA". It matches the Rfam family "Bacterial small subunit ribosomal RNA", at positions 338 to 795 of the family's 1533-position model. The record is from RNAcentral.
CCUACGGGAGGCAGCAGUAGGGAAUAUUGCUCAAUGGGGGAAACCCUGAAGCAGCAACGCCGCGUGGAGGAUGAAGGUUUUCGGAUUGUAAACUUCUUUUGUUAGAGAAGAUAAUGACGGUAUCUAACGAAUAAGCACCGGCCAACCCCGUGCCAGCAGCCGCGGUAAUACGGAGGGUGCAAGCGUUACUCGGAAUCACUGGGCGUAAAGAGCGCGUAGGCGGGAUAGCAAGUCAGAUGUGAAAUUCUAUGGCUUAACCAUAGAACUGCAUUUGAAACUGUUAGUCUAGAGUAUGGGAGAGGUAGGUGGAAUUCUUGGUGUAGGGGUAAAAUGCGUAGAGAUCAAGAGGAAUACUCAUUGCGAAGGCGACCUGCUAGAACGUAACUGACGUUGAUGCGCGAAAGCGUGGGGAGCAAACAGGAUUAGAUACCCUUGUAGUC